RNAcentral lists this ribosomal RNA (984 nucleotides) under Triticum aestivum (bread wheat). Its description in RNAcentral is "partial small subunit ribosomal RNA". Lineage: Eukaryota; Viridiplantae; Streptophyta; Magnoliopsida; Poales; Poaceae. The record is from RNAcentral.
AUGGCUGGCACUGGCAGCACCUGGCUCCUGCUGGAGCAGAAGGGAGCUGGGCCGGGAGCAAGGAGCUCCCACGCCAUCACCCUCGUCGGCGGCACGGCCUACUCCUUCGGCGGAGAGUUCACCCCGCGCCUUCCCGUGGACAACACCAUGUACGCCUUCGACCUCAAGGCGCAGUCCUGGUCCGCCCUCCACGCGGCCGGCGAGGUGCCCCCGCCACGCGUCGGCGUCACCAUGGCCUCCGUCGGCGCCACGGUGUUCGUGUUCGCCGGCCGCGACAAGGACCACACGGAGCUCAACGAGCUCUACUCCUUCGACACGGCCACCAGCACCUGGACCCUGCUAUCCUCCGGCGACGACGGCCCGCCGCACCGGAGCUACCACUCCAUGGUGGCCGACGGCGAGGGGAGCCGCGUGUACGUCUUUGGCGGCUGCGGCAACGCCGGCAGGCUGAACGACCUGUGGGCCUACGACGUCGCCGCCGGGCGCUGGGAGGAGCUGCCUUCGCCGGGGGCGGCCUGCCCUCCCCGCGGCGGGCCCGGGCUGGCGUUCGCCGGCGGGAAGGUGUGGGUGGUCUACGGGUUCUCCGGGGACGCGGAGCUCGACGAUGUGCACUCCUACGACCCGGCCACCGGCGAGUGGGCCGUGGUCGACACCACCGGCGACAAGCCCACCCCGCGGAGCGUGCUCUGCGCCGCCGGGGUCGGGAAGCACGUGGUGGUGUUCGGCGGCGAGGUGGAUCCCAGCGAUCUCGGCCAUCUAGGCGCCGGCAAAUUCUCCGCCGAGGCCUUCGUGCUAGACACCGACACCGGCGCGUGGGCCAAGCUUGAUGACGCUGGGUCUGGUCACCACCCUGGUCCUCGCGGUUGGUGCGCUUUCUCGGCGGGGGCGCUCGACGGCCGGCGCGGCAUGCUUGUCUACGGCGGCAACUCGCCGACGAACGACCGGCUUGGCGACAUGUUCCUCUUCACUCCGCUUCUAGCUUGA